AUGAACGCUGGCGGCGUGCCUAAUACAUGCAAGUCGAGCGAACAGACGAGGAGCUUGCUCCUCUGACGUUAGCGGCGGACGGGUGAGUAACACGUGGAUAACCUACCUAUAAGACUGGGAUAACUUCGGGAAACCGGAGCUAAUACCGGAUAAUAUAUUGAACCGCAUGGUUCAAUAGUGAAAGACGGUUUUGCUGUAACUUAUAGAUGGAUCCGCGCCGCAUUAGCUAGUUGGUAAGGUAACGGCUUACCAAGGCAACGAUGCGUAGCCGACCUGAGAGGGUGAUCGGCCACACCGGAACUGAGACACGGUCCAGACUCCUACGGGAGGCAGCAGUAGGGAAUCUUCCGCAAUGGGCGAAAGCUUGACGGAGCAACGCCGCGUGAGUGGUGAAGGUCUUCGGAUCGUAAAACUCUGUUAUUAGGGAAGAACAAAUGUGUAAGUAACUAUGCACGUCUUGACGGUACCUAAUCAGAAAGCCACGGCUAACUACGUG
This 496-nucleotide ribosomal RNA is filed under the name uncultured bacterium. RNAcentral describes it as "partial 16S ribosomal RNA". It matches the Rfam family "Bacterial small subunit ribosomal RNA", at positions 29 to 507 of the family's 1533-position model. The record is from RNAcentral.